RNAcentral lists this ribosomal RNA (1554 nucleotides) under Klebsiella pneumoniae. RNAcentral describes it as "bacterial SSU rRNA". It matches the Rfam family "Bacterial small subunit ribosomal RNA". Lineage: Bacteria; Pseudomonadati; Pseudomonadota; Gammaproteobacteria; Enterobacterales; Enterobacteriaceae. The record is from RNAcentral.
ACUUAAAUUGAAGAGUUUGAUCAUGGCUCAGAUUGAACGCUGGCGGCAGGCCUAACACAUGCAAGUCGAGCGGUAGCACAGAGAGCUUGCUCUCGGGUGACGAGCGGCGGACGGGUGAGUAAUGUCUGGGAAACUGCCUGAUGGAGGGGGAUAACUACUGGAAACGGUAGCUAAUACCGCAUAAUGUCGCAAGACCAAAGUGGGGGACCUUCGGGCCUCAUGCCAUCAGAUGUGCCCAGAUGGGAUUAGCUAGUAGGUGGGGUAAUGGCUCACCUAGGCGACGAUCCCUAGCUGGUCUGAGAGGAUGACCAGCCACACUGGAACUGAGACACGGUCCAGACUCCUACGGGAGGCAGCAGUGGGGAAUAUUGCACAAUGGGCGCAAGCCUGAUGCAGCCAUGCCGCGUGUGUGAAGAAGGCCUUCGGGUUGUAAAGCACUUUCAGCGGGGAGGAAGGCGGUGAGGUUAAUAACCUCAUCGAUUGACGUUACCCGCAGAAGAAGCACCGGCUAACUCCGUGCCAGCAGCCGCGGUAAUACGGAGGGUGCAAGCGUUAAUCGGAAUUACUGGGCGUAAAGCGCACGCAGGCGGUCUGUCAAGUCGGAUGUGAAAUCCCCGGGCUCAACCUGGGAACUGCAUUCGAAACUGGCAGGCUAGAGUCUUGUAGAGGGGGGUAGAAUUCCAGGUGUAGCGGUGAAAUGCGUAGAGAUCUGGAGGAAUACCGGUGGCGAAGGCGGCCCCCUGGACAAAGACUGACGCUCAGGUGCGAAAGCGUGGGGAGCAAACAGGAUUAGAUCCCCUGGUAGUCCACGCCGUAAACGAUGUCGAUUUGGAGGUUGUGCCCUUGAGGCGUGGCUUCCGGAGCUAACGCGUUAAAUCGACCGCCUGGGGAGUACGGCCGCAAGGUUAAAACUCAAAUGAAUUGACGGGGGCCCGCACAAGCGGUGGAGCAUGUGGUUUAAUUCGAUGCAACGCGAAGAACCUUACCUGGUCUUGACAUCCACAGAACUUUCCAGAGAUGGAUUGGUGCCUUCGGGAACUGUGAGACAGGUGCUGCAUGGCUGUCGUCAGCUCGUGUUGUGAAAUGUUGGGUUAAGUCCCGCAACGAGCGCAACCCUUAUCCUUUGUUGCCAGCGGUCCGGCCGGGAACUCAAAGGAGACUGCCAGUGAUAAACUGGAGGAAGGUGGGGAUGACGUCAAGUCAUCAUGGCCCUUACGACCAGGGCUACACACGUGCUACAAUGGCAUAUACAAAGAGAAGCGACCUCGCGAGAGCAAGCGGACCUCAUAAAGUAUGUCGUAGUCCGGAUUGGAGUCUGCAACUCGACUCCAUGAAGUCGGAAUCGCUAGUAAUCGUAGAUCAGAAUGCUACGGUGAAUACGUUCCCGGGCCUUGUACACACCGCCCGUCACACCAUGGGAGUGGGUUGCAAAAGAAGUAGGUAGCUUAACCUUCGGGAGGGCGCUUACCACUUUGUGAUUCAUGACUGGGGUGAAGUCGUAACAAGGUAACCGUAGGGGAACCUGCGGUUGGAUCACCUCCUUACCUUAAAGAA